GCCACCAGGGAGAGGUAUGAACCACAACGAUAACCGCAGGGAUGAGGUCCUCUUCCAAUCGAAAGAAAUGCAAGGCAGAAGUGCCUGAUUGAAUCCAUGCAGAGUUCACCCAACCAGUAGUCCACCCCUCAGAGAACACCGCAACCAGGCAACCCAAAACAAGAACUGUAGAGGCACCAGAGGCCAAGAAUGGUCGUAAAUACCAGACAAUUGCUGCAAGCCAACACAGACAGCCCACAGAA
RNAcentral lists this unclassified non-coding RNA (242 nucleotides) under Hevea brasiliensis (rubber tree). Lineage: Eukaryota; Viridiplantae; Streptophyta; Magnoliopsida; Malpighiales; Euphorbiaceae. The record is from RNAcentral.